RNAcentral lists this ribosomal RNA (493 nucleotides) under Trigonopterus sp. 434 AR-2022a. Its description in RNAcentral is "partial large subunit ribosomal RNA". It matches the Rfam family "Bacterial large subunit ribosomal RNA", at positions 1851 to 2599 of the family's 2925-position model. The record is from RNAcentral. Lineage: Eukaryota; Metazoa; Arthropoda; Insecta; Coleoptera; Curculionidae.
GGUUGUACCUGCCCAUGAUGAUUUAAAUGGCCGCGGUAUACUGCCGUGCAAAGGUAGCAUAAUCAUUAGUUUUUUAAUUGAAAGCUUGAAUGAAAGGUUUGAUGAGAAAAUGUCUGUCUCUGUUUAAAUUUAUUAGAAUUUUAUUUUUGAGUUAAAAAGCUCAAAUGCUUAUAGAAGACGAGAAGACCCUAUAGAGUUUAAAAUUUAAUUGAAUAAUACAUUUAUAGCUAAUCUAUUAAUAUGUUUUUAUAUGAUUAAGUUUUUUGUUGGGGUGAUAGAAAAAUUUAAUUAACUUUUUUUUUUGACAACCACUAAUUUGUGAACAAAUGAUCCUAGUUUUUUAGAUUAUAAGAAUAAACUACCUUAGGGAUAACAGCGUAAUUUUUUUUAGAGUUCUUAUCGAAAGAAAAGAUUGCGACCUCGAUGUUGGAUUAAAAUUUAUUGUUGGUGAAGGAGCUAAUAGAUUAAGUCUGUUCGACUUUUAAAAUUUUAC